GAUGAAGAACGCAGCGAAAUGCGAUAAGUAGUGUGAAUUGCAGAAUUCAGUGAAUCAUCGAAUCUUUGAACGCACAUUGCGCCCCUUGGUAUCCCGAGGGGCAUGCCUGUUCGAGCGUCAUUUCACCACUCAAGCCUGGCUUGGUGUUGGGCGACGUCCUCUUUGGGGACGCGCCUCGAAACGCUCGGCGGCGUGGCACCGGCUUUAAGCGUAGCAGAAUCUUUCGCUUUGGAAGUCGGGGCCCCGUCUGCCGGAAGACCUGCUCGCAAGGUUGACCUCGGAUCAGGCAGGGAUACCCGCUGAACUUAAGCAUAUCAAUAAGCGGA
This 326-nucleotide unclassified non-coding RNA is filed under the name soil metagenome. RNAcentral's name for it is "partial contains 5.8S ribosomal RNA, internal transcribed spacer 2, and large subunit ribosomal RNA". The stretch from base 1 to 120 matches the Rfam family "5.8S ribosomal RNA", at positions 35 to 154 of the family's 154-position model. The record is from RNAcentral.